CGAGGUCAACCUUUGGAAAAUUGGGGGUUUUACGGCAAGAGUCCCUCCGGAUCCCAGUGCGAGACGUAAAGUUACUACGCAAAGGAGGCUCCGGGAGGGUCCGCCACUACCUUUGAGGGCCUACAUCAGCUGUAGGGCCCCAACACCAAGCAGAGCUUGAGGGUUGAAAUGACGCUCGAACAGGCAUGCCCGCCAGAAUGCUGGCGGGCGCAAUGUGCGUUCAAAGAUUCGAUGAUUCACUGAAUUCUGCAAUUCACAUUACUUAUCGCAUUUCGCUGCGUUCUUCAUCGAUGCCAGAACCAAGAGAUCCGUUGUUAAAAGUUUUGAUUAUUUGCUUGUACCACUCAGAAGAAACGUCGUUAAAUCAGAGUUUGGUUAUCCUCCGGCGGGCGCCGACCCGCCCGGGGGCGGGAGGCCGGGAGGGUCACGGAGACCCUGCCCGCCGAAGCAACAGUUAUAGGUAUGUUCACAAAGGGUUGUAGAGCGUA
This 488-nucleotide unclassified non-coding RNA is filed under the name Colletotrichum sp. C1206.3. RNAcentral describes it as "sequence contains 18S rRNA gene, ITS1, 5.8S rRNA gene, ITS2, 28S rRNA gene". RNAcentral also lists the same sequence under 1 other name. Lineage: Eukaryota; Fungi; Ascomycota; Sordariomycetes; Glomerellales; Glomerellaceae. The record is from RNAcentral.